GGAGGUGAAACCUACAAUGUCUGAGAAGAAUAUGGUCACCUGGAACAAAGCAGGAGAACGACUCCAUGACUGACUCUGUUCUUCUUCCACUUUGAAGACAGAUCCUGAUGAUAAAAGAGUUCAUGUCUCUGCAGUAUCUGGGUGAUUGCAUGUGAUAUGUUUUCUCAGUGACCUCAUCUCUUACAUGGCGUAUUACCUGGGCAGGGUUAGAGAAACCUCGUUACCUGAUGCAGAUUUUUCCAAGGAGAUUAUUUUUUUUUUUAAAUAAAGAAUAUUUGUAUUAAAAAAAAGGAAAUAAAACUUUUAAGAGAGAAAAGCAGGUGGCUGACAGUAGAAUGUAUUCAUGUGUGAGUGAAGUGAAAAGCAGAAACCGUAACUGUUUUGCAUGUGGACAGAUUUCUCUAGAGCUCAUGAUGGUUUAUAAAUGUCGUCUUAAACAUUCUUAUUUGUCAGAUCUUGCAGAAAUGUGAAUCCUCACUGACCCUGACAUCCUCCAGCACUGCUCUAACCAUGAUGACUGUGAAAGUCCAAACGUCCAGAGGCAUCUGUCCAUUUGAUCAGCCGCUGCAGCUCUAGGUCCUGCAUCGCCUCCCUGCUGUGGUGCUGCCGGGUCCCCACCAUCGACUGUAUAUAGAAACUGGACUGAGUGACUCCUCCCCCGGCAAUCCAAACAGGAAGUACCUGCAGCUCCAAGAAGCCAAAAUCAACAGCUGUUAAAUAAACUCAGCCGUUCUAUUGGUUUUUCAAAUCCCAAACCGACCAAUCAGAUGCCCCAAUAAAAUCAUGUGGUUCCCUCUGGCUCCGCCUCAAAGGCUUGAUUGACAGAUUCUCCUGGUCACUUUCAGUGGAAGGGGUGUGGCCUUCCAACAGGCUGGCUCCUGGAACAAACGUUGCCAUAGAAACAUGAAACUCAAACCAACUUGGACCAAUCACUGUCGACUGGCUCCAACAUGGCGACUGAAUUAGCUUCAUUUUGCUGGAGGGAAGGCCUUUUCUAUGGAUGAUGUCACACUUGCUCAGUCCAGUUCUAUGUACAGUCAAUGGUCCCAGCCUGUGAUGCUGCACUUGAAUGGCUAUACAGUCAUCCAGAGGACGACGUCCCAAUAUGUUCUCGUUUCCCCCAACCAGCUGUUUCCUUCUGUUCAUCUCCAUCAGGUCGGGGGGGGCAAAGCACUUUGUUACAAGUGAAAAGUGCUGUAUGAAUAAAGAUUGAUUUAAAGAUUGGAUCAGGAUGCUGGAGCCUAUCCCAUCAGAGCACUUUCUCUAUGGACCUUCUUCCACUGUCUGUUUUCUGCUGUGGAUUCUGGAAGCUCUUGUUGGUGAAGACCUGCUUCCCCUCACCUGUCCAACAUGAAAACGCCGUCUUUCCUUUCUAGACUUCUCAGACUCUCCGCCCCCCGUAAAGCACCACCCCCUCCCCCACAUCAGGGAGCUUUCUCCGCUGCUUCAAACCUCUUCAAUGAUCCAGAUGCAAUCUGACCACAAACAGCUUGUUUUAUCUCCGAUGAAUAUGGAACAGGACAAUUAUCUGUAAUUACGCCAACAAUAGCAACAAAGGCAGCAGACACACACGUGCAGCGGGUGCAUGUGCACGUAGACGUGCACCUCCUGGCAGCAUCACAUGAUCCAGAUUGAUCAGGUUCACGUUGAAGCAGAAUGAUGCCAGAAUCCCCUUUGCUGAGAGAUCAUGUGACAGCUCACCUUCAGCUGAUGGCAGCGUCCUCAAACGUCGUCAUUAUUCUAUCGAUUCGUGUGACAUCACGACUUCAUCUCCUCAGGAUGUGCAGCACAUUUCUAUCAAAAUCCAUAUCAAUCAAUCAAUCAGUUUGUUUUCUGAGGUUUGACUGUUUCUCUUUGAUAAUCUUAAUGAACGUCAGAGUUUUAUAUAAAUUAGAACAUGAGAAGUUUGAUGACAGACUGCAGACAAUCCUGAUGUUUUGGGACCUUGAUGCUAUUUUUUAUUUGUUUUCUUUCAUUCUUUAGUGUGAAUAAUUAUGUCUAAUGUGUAAAUCAUAUUACCUUGGGUGGGUAGUAAUAACCUGUUUAUUCUACUCACUCCUUUUUAUCACAUUUCUCUAUUUUUUGUGCCUAAAAUAAAAAUGAAUCCAUCAUGAGGGAGAAAACAGCCUCUGGUUUAUAACUUCCAGCUGCUGGUUUCUCCGUCCUCCUCCACUUACCCUCUCAUAACUCUCUGCU
Molecule: long non-coding RNA, 2196 nt
Organism: Oryzias melastigma (Indian medaka)
Lineage: Eukaryota; Metazoa; Chordata; Actinopteri; Beloniformes; Adrianichthyidae
Exons: 3
Source: RefSeq, a predicted model, not a curated record